Molecule: non-coding RNA, 91 nt
Organism: Crenichthys baileyi (White River springfish)
Lineage: Eukaryota; Metazoa; Chordata; Actinopteri; Cyprinodontiformes; Goodeidae
Source: the annotation of a GenBank genome assembly
GCGAGUGUGGCUCAGUAGGAAGAGUAGUUGUCUUGCAAUCAGAAGGUUGUGGGUUCAAGGCACUUAACCUCAAGUUGCCUACCGAUUUGCG